Molecule: transfer RNA, 62 nt
Filed under: Cyrtodactylus phuquocensis
Lineage: Eukaryota; Metazoa; Chordata; Lepidosauria; Squamata; Gekkonidae
Description: tRNA-Trp
Source: RNAcentral
GGGUUUAGGUUAGACAAACCAGGGGCCUUCAAAGCCCCAAACAGGGCCCCCCCCUAACCCCU